AGCGAACGCUGGCGGCAUGCUUAACACAUGCAAGUCGCACGGGAGGGGCAACCCUUCAGUGGCGGACGGGUGAGUAACGCGUAGGUAUCUAUCUCCGGGUGGGGGACAACUGUGGGAAACUACAGCUAAUACCGCAUGAUGCCCGAGGGCCAAAGCAGCAAUGCGCCUGGAGAGGAGCCUGCGUACGAUUAGCUUGUUGGCGGGGUAAUGGCCCACCAAGGCGACGAUCGUUAGCUGGUCUGAGAGGAUGAUCAGCCACACUGGGACUGAGACACGGCCCAGACUCCUACGGAAGGCAGCAGUGGGGAAUAUUGGACAAUGGGCGCAAGCCUGAUCCAGCAAUGCCGCGUGAGUGAAGAAGGUCUUCGGAUUGUAAAACUCUUUCGCGCACGACGAUAAUGACGGUAGUGCGAGAAGAAGCUCCGGCUAACUUCGUGCCAGCAGCCGCGGUAAUACGAAGGGGGCUAGCGUUGUUCGGAAUUACUGGGCGUAAAGCGCGCGCAGGCGGCUAUCCAAGUCAGUGGUGAAAGCCCGGAGCUCAACUCCGGAACUGCCAUUGAAACUGUUUAGCUUGAGGACGAGAGAGGUGAGUGGAAUUCCCAGUGUAGAGGUGAAAUUCGUAGAUAUUGGGAAGAACACCGGUGGCGAAGGCGGCUCACUGGCUCGUUUCUGACGCUCAGGCGCGACAGCGUGGGGAUCAAACAGGAUUAGAUACCCUGGUAGUCCACGCCGUAAACGAUGAUUGCUAGCCGUUGGGCAGCUUGCUGUUCAGUGGCGCAGCUAACGCAUUAAGCAAUCCGCCUGGGGAGUACGGCCGCAAGGUG
RNAcentral lists this ribosomal RNA (824 nucleotides) under uncultured bacterium. RNAcentral describes it as "bacterial SSU rRNA". It matches the Rfam family "Bacterial small subunit ribosomal RNA", at positions 28 to 895 of the family's 1533-position model. The record is from RNAcentral.